GAGCACCCUUUGGGGUGUGACUGCGUACCUUUUGUAUAAUGGGUCAGCGACUUAUAUUCUGUAGCAAGGUUAACCGUAUAGGGGAGCCGGAGGGAAACCGAGUCUUAACCGGGCGUUAAGUUGCAGGGUAUAGACCCGAAACCCGGUGAUCUAGCCAUGGGCAGGUUGAAGGUUGGGUAACACUAACUGGAGGACCGAACCGACUAAUGUUGAAAAAUUAGCGGAUGACCUGUGGCUGGGGGUGAAAGGCCAAUCAAACCGGGAGAUAGCUGGUUCUCCCCGAAAGCUAUUUAGGUAGCGCCUCGUGAAUUCAUCUCCGGGGGUAGAGCACUGUUUCGGCUAGGGGGCCAUCCCGGCUUACCAACCCGAUGCAAACUGCGAAUACCGGAGAAUGUUAUCACGGGAGACACACGGCGGGUGCUAACGUCCGUCGUGAAGAGGGAAACAACCCAGACCGCCAGCUAAGGUCCCAAAGUCAUGGUUAAGUGGGAAACGAUGUGGGAAGGCCCAGACAGCCAGGAUGUUGGCUUAGAAGCAGCCAUCAUUUAAAGAAAGCGUAAUAGCUCACUGGUCGAGUCGGCCUGCGCGGAAGAUGUAACGGGGCUAAACCAUG
This 613-nucleotide ribosomal RNA is filed under the name Salmonella enterica subsp. enterica. RNAcentral describes it as "partial 23S ribosomal RNA". It matches the Rfam family "Bacterial large subunit ribosomal RNA", at positions 577 to 1191 of the family's 2925-position model. The record is from RNAcentral. Lineage: Bacteria; Pseudomonadati; Pseudomonadota; Gammaproteobacteria; Enterobacterales; Enterobacteriaceae.